CAAGGCUAUGUUCACAUCUCCGCUUAUCAUUUCCAUUGUUCUGUUCCAUUACAGGAGCAGAACAACUAAAAGGAAUGGCGCUCAAUGGGCCCCAUUGACUAUAAUAGGAUCAGUUGGGUGCCAAAAAACCUUUCUGAGCUCCAGAUUGUGUUUCAGAUACACUGAACAGGGCCUUGCAAGUUGCUGAGUUGCAAUCAGGAAGAGUUACUAUCUCCAAUUCAAAAGCUAGAUUCUGGAAACAUUCAAUAACAGGUCAGCCAAAAGCUGCAGGAAAGGGCAAAGCAACAGCCCAAAUGCAUGUCUCCAAUGGAACAACUCAAUCGUACAUUAGUCUUCCAUUCUUACCUUCACCAAGAGGAAUGUCACAUUUGCAAUGUGUUUCUCCUUAGUCAUCUACAUUCAGGAAGCAGGUAAAGUAAAUGUACUAUAACUAUACUUACAAAGAAGCAAGGCAACCAUAAGAGUAAAUGACUUCAGGGCCAUGGUGGCAAUUUGGAAACUGUUGACUUCCUUGGAUCAGUGACCUUCACACCAAGACUUUGAUGCAAGGAUCUCACAAAUCAGACCCUGAAGACCACUGACACGCAGACCGAUUCACAACUAAACAUUUUGCUAAGGGAUAUUGAGAAUACUGCUAACAGGAUAAUUAAUUGUUAAUUAGAAGCAUUUCAGAAUGCUGACGUGGGAAUGUCUCUCUAGGAUUGAGUCAUACUAUACUGGCCAAGUAUGUGUGUGUGUGUAAGAUAAUUUAAAAAAUAUUUAUGAAAAAAAAACAUCUCCCACUCAUAUGGACCCAGCACAUCCAUUUAUUAUAUGGUCAGAUGUUACUUUGAAUGGCAGGCCUGUAAUCCAAAAUUUCCACUGUAGCAGAAAUCUUCCCAGUGGUACCAACUGAUUUCCAGGGGGUCUAGAAGCCAUGUCCAUUGUGAUCAGCUGAUCGACAGAGUGUCAGCUGACCUUGGAGUCAGAUAAACUGCAACAUCCGGAUCAGAACAAGGAUAAGCAACACAAAGCAGAAAUGAAUUAUUACCGUCUGAAUUUACAUAGCUUACAGACUAGCCCAAGCAGAAGGUACGCCAACAUUUAUCACUGUGACUGUGAUAGAUUUGGGGCAUCUUGCUAGACAUGUUAUACAAUUUUUCAUUGACUUAUUUUAAGGCAACAUUUUGUGCUAACAUUUUGGCACAAAUUGGCAUAUUUUAAGGCACUUUCCUAAGCCACAGCCUUUUUCUGUUAAGCCGCACCCCUAUCUAUACACUUUUCAGAGCAGUCUACUGAGGAGCAAAAAGUGUCUAAAACAUACAAUAAAUCUGGCACAUACACCAUUUUUUACA
Molecule: long non-coding RNA, 1334 nt
Organism: Bufo gargarizans (Asiatic toad)
Lineage: Eukaryota; Metazoa; Chordata; Amphibia; Anura; Bufonidae
Exons: 3
Source: RefSeq, a predicted model, not a curated record